This 257-nucleotide ribosomal RNA is filed under the name uncultured bacterium. RNAcentral's name for it is "partial 16S ribosomal RNA". It matches the Rfam family "Bacterial small subunit ribosomal RNA", at positions 333 to 607 of the family's 1533-position model. The record is from RNAcentral.
GUGUGCCUAUGGGGCGCAGCAGUGAGGGAUAUUGGUCAAUGGGGGAAACCCUGAACCAGCAACGCCGCGUGAGGGAAGACGGUUUUCGGAUUGUAAACCUCUGUCCUCUGUGAAGAUAAUGACGGUAGCAGAGGAGGAAGCUCCGGCUAACUACGUGCCAGCAGCCGCGGUAAUACGUAGGGAGCGAGCGUUGUCCGGAUUUACUGGGUGUAAAGGGUGCGUAGGCGGGUAAGGAAGUCAGAAGUGAAAUCCAUGGG